RNAcentral lists this ribosomal RNA (467 nucleotides) under uncultured bacterium. Its description in RNAcentral is "partial 16S ribosomal RNA". It matches the Rfam family "Bacterial small subunit ribosomal RNA", at positions 28 to 506 of the family's 1533-position model. The record is from RNAcentral.
GACGAACGCUGGCGGCGUGCUUAACACAUGCAAGUCGAACGGAAAGGCCCUGCUUUUGUGGGGUGCUCGAGUGGCGAACGGGUGAGUAACACGUGAGUAACCUGCCCUUGACUUUGGGAUAACUUCAGGAAACUGGGGCUAAUACCGGAUAGGAGCUCCUGCUGCAUGGUGGGGGUUGGAAAGUUUCGGCGGUUGGGGAUGGACUCGCGGCUUAUCAGCUUGUUGGUGGGGUAGUGGCUUACCAAGGCUUUGACGGGUAGCCGGCCUGUGCGGGUGACCGGCCACAUUGGGACUGAGAUACGGCCCAGACUCCUCCGGGAGGCAGCAGUGGGGAUUAUUGCACACUGGGCGGAACCCUGAUGCAGCAACGCCGCGUGCGGGAUGACGGCCUUCGGGUUGUAAACCGCUUUCGCCUGUGACGAAGCGUGAGUGACGGUAAUGGUCAAAGAAGCACCGGCUAUCUACGU